UACGGAGGGAGCUAGCGUUGUUCGGAAUUACUGGGCGUAAAGCGCACGUAGGCGGCUUUGUAAGUUAGAGGUGAAAGCCCGGGGCUCAACCCCGGAAUUGCCUUUAAGACUGCAUCGCUUGAAUCCGGGAGAGGUGAGUGGAAUUCUGAGUGUAGAGGUGAAAUUCGUAGAUAUUCGGAAGAACACCAGUGGCGAAGGCGGCUCACUGGACCGGUAUUGACGCUGAGGUGCGAAAGCGUGGGGAGCAAACAGG
RNAcentral lists this ribosomal RNA (253 nucleotides) under uncultured bacterium. RNAcentral describes it as "partial 16S ribosomal RNA". It matches the Rfam family "Bacterial small subunit ribosomal RNA", at positions 524 to 776 of the family's 1533-position model. The record is from RNAcentral.